This 433-nucleotide ribosomal RNA is filed under the name uncultured bacterium. RNAcentral's name for it is "partial 16S ribosomal RNA". It matches the Rfam family "Bacterial small subunit ribosomal RNA", at positions 29 to 507 of the family's 1533-position model. The record is from RNAcentral.
AACGAACGCUGGCGGCAUGCCUAACACAUGCAAGUCGAACGAGACCUUCGGGUCUAGUGGCGCACGGGUGCGUAACGCGUGGGAACCUGCCCUUAGGUUCGGAAUAACUCCCCGAAAGGGGUGCUAAUACCGGAUAAUGUCUUCGGACCAAAGAUUUAUCGCCUUAGGAGGGGCCCGCGUUGGAUUAGCUAGUUGGUAGGGUAAAAGCCUACCAAGGCGACGAUCCAUAGCUGGUCUGAGAGGAUGAUCCGCCACACUGGGGCUGGGACACGGCCCAGACUCCUACGGGAUGCGGCAGUGCGGAAUAUUGGACAAUGGGCGAAGGCAUGAUCCAGCACUGCCGCGUGAGUGCUGAAGGCCUUAGAGUUGUAAAGCUCUUUUACCCGGGAUGAUAAUGACAGUACCGGGAGAAUAAGCUCCGGCUAACUACGUG